AAUUGGAUACCAAAGUGUGUGGGAGAGGAAGUUGGAUACCAAAGUGUGUGUGAGAUAUAAAUUGGAUACCAAAGUGUGUGGGAGAGGAAGUUGGAUACCAGAGUGUGUGGAGAUAUAAAUUGAUACCAAAGUGUGUGGAGAGGAAGUUGGAUACCAAAGUGUGUGGGAUAUAAAUUGGAUACCAAAGUGUGUGGGAGAUAUAAAUUGGAUACCAAAGUGUGCGGGAGAGGAAGUUGGAUACCAAAGUGUGUGGGAGAUAAAUUUGAUACCAAAGUGUGUGGGAGAUAUAAAUGAAAGCGAAAGUGAAAGUGAAUGUAUUGCGGAAGGGGAGCAGAACCGUUAAUAGAAGAGGAAGUAGAGAGAGAGCAAAAGAAUGCAAAAGAAAUAACUACAGAAAUUCAGUGGGAAUAUCUAUAAAGAAGCAGAGAGGUCAUACCUAUAAGAGGAAGCAGAGAAGGGAUAACCAUAACGAGGAAGCAGAGAGAGAGAGUAACUAUAAGAGGAAGCAGAGAGGGAAUAACUAUAAAGUGGAAGCAGAGAGAGAAUAACUAUAAGAAGUAGAGAAGGAAUAACUAAAGAAAAGAGAGAAAGCAGAAGGAUAAUAACUAUAAGAGGAAGCAGAGAGGGCACAACUAUAAAGAGAAAGCAGAUAGAGAAUAACUAUAAGAAGUAGAGGGGGGA
Penaeus vannamei (Pacific white shrimp) is the source of this 681-nucleotide non-coding RNA. Lineage: Eukaryota; Metazoa; Arthropoda; Malacostraca; Decapoda; Penaeidae. The record is from RefSeq and is a predicted model, not a curated record.